This 73-nucleotide transfer RNA is filed under the name Pusa sibirica (Baikal seal). RNAcentral describes it as "transfer RNA-Gln". It matches the Rfam family "tRNA". Rfam says of the family: Transfer RNA (tRNA) molecules are approximately 80 nucleotides in length. The record is from RNAcentral. Lineage: Eukaryota; Metazoa; Chordata; Mammalia; Carnivora; Phocidae.
UAGAAUAUGGUGUACUUGGGUAGCACGGAGAUUUUUGAAUUCUUAGGAUUAGGUUCGAUUCCUAUUGUUCUAG